AUUGAACGCUGGCGGCAUGCUUUACACAUGCAAGUCGAACGGUAACAGGCCGCAAGGUGCUGACGAGUGGCGAACGGGUGAGUAAUGCAUCGGAACGUGCCCAGUCGUGGGGGAUAACUACUCGAAAGAGUAGCUAAUACCUCAUACGAUCUAUGGAUGAAAGCGGGGGACCGUAAGGCCUCGCGCGAUUGGAGCGGCCGAUUUCAGAUUAGGUAGUUGGGGGGGUAAAGGCUCACCAAGCCAACGAUCUGUAGCUGGUCUGAGAGGACGACCAGCCACACUGGGACUGAGACACGGCCCAGACUCCUACGGGAGGCAGCAGUGGGGAAUUUUGGACAAUGGGCGCAAGCCUGAUCCAGCAAUGCCGCGUGCAGGAAGAAGGCCUUCGGGUUGUAAACUGCUUUUGUACGGAACGAAACGGCUCUGGUUAAUACCCGGGGCUAAUGACGGUACCGUAAGAAUAAGCACCGGCUAACUACGUG
RNAcentral lists this ribosomal RNA (482 nucleotides) under uncultured bacterium. RNAcentral describes it as "partial 16S ribosomal RNA". It matches the Rfam family "Bacterial small subunit ribosomal RNA", at positions 30 to 507 of the family's 1533-position model. The record is from RNAcentral.